Molecule: ribosomal RNA, 714 nt
Filed under: Priestia aryabhattai
Lineage: Bacteria; Bacillati; Bacillota; Bacilli; Caryophanales; Bacillaceae
Description: bacterial SSU rRNA
Rfam family: Bacterial small subunit ribosomal RNA
Source: RNAcentral
UGCAGUCGAGCGAACUGAUUAGAAGCUUGCUUCUAUGACGUUAGCGGCGGACGGGUGAGUAACACGUGGGCAACCUGCCUGUAAGACUGGGAUAACUUCGGGAAACCGAAGCUAAUACCGGAUAGGAUCUUCUCCUUCAUGGGAGAUGAUUGAAAGAUGGUUUCGGCUAUCACUUACAGAUGGGCCCGCGGUGCAUUAGCUAGUUGGUGAGGUAACGGCUCACCAAGGCAACGAUGCAUAGCCGACCUGAGAGGGUGAUCGGCCACACUGGGACUGAGACACGGCCCAGACUCCUACGGGAGGCAGCAGUAGGGAAUCUUCCGCAAUGGACGAAAGUCUGACGGAGCAACGCCGCGUGAGUGAUGAAGGCUUUCGGGUCGUAAAACUCUGUUGUUAGGGAAGAACAAGUACGAGAGUAACUGCUUGUACCUUGACGGUACCUAACCAGAAAGCCACGGCUAACUACGUGCCAGCAGCCGCGGUAAUACGUAGGUGGCAAGCGUUAUCCGGAAUUAUUGGGCGUAAAGCGCGCGCAGGCGGUUUCUUAAGUCUGAUGUGAAAGCCCACGGCUCAACCGUGGAGGGUCAUUGGAAACUGGGGAACUUGAGUGCAGAAGAGAAAAGCGGAAUUCCACGUGUAGCGGUGAAAUGCGUAGAGAUGUGGAGGAACACCAGUGGCGAAGGCGGCUUUUUGGUCUGUAACUGACGCUGAGGC